This 554-nucleotide ribosomal RNA is filed under the name Fusarium sp. RNAcentral describes it as "eukaryotic LSU rRNA". The stretch from base 187 to 340 matches the Rfam family "5.8S ribosomal RNA". Lineage: Eukaryota; Fungi; Ascomycota; Sordariomycetes; Hypocreales; Nectriaceae. The record is from RNAcentral.
GAGGGGUUUCGGUUUGGUGACAGGCGGAGGGAUCAUUACCGAGUUUACAACUCCCAAACCCCUGUGAACAUACCACUUGUUGCCUCGGCGGAUCAGCCCGCUCCCGGUAAAACGGGACGGCCCGCCAGAGGACCCCUAAACUCUGUUUCUAUAUGUAACUUCUGAGUAAAACCAUAAAUAAAUCAAAACUUUCAACAACGGAUCUCUUGGUUCUGGCAUCGAUGAAGAACGCAGCAAAAUGCGAUAAGUAAUGUGAAUUGCAGAAUUCAGUGAAUCAUCGAAUCUUUGAACGCACAUUGCGCCCGCCAGUAUUCUGGCGGGCAUGCCUGUUCGAGCGUCAUUUCAACCCUCAAGCACAGCUUGGUGUUGGGACUCGCGUUAAUUCGCGUUCCUCAAAUUGAUUGGCGGUCACGUCGAGCUUCCAUAGCGUAGUAGUAAAACCCUCGUUACUGGUAAUCGUCGCGGCCACGCCGUUAAACCCCAACUUCUGAAUGUUGACCUCGGAUCAGGUAGGAAUACCCGCUGAACUUAAGCAUAUCAUAAAGGGGAAGGAA